CCUACGGGAGGCAGCAGUGAGGAAUAUUUGUCCAUGGUCGUAAGACUGAACCAGCCAAGUAGCGUGCAGGAUGACUGCCCUAUGGGUUGUAAACUUCUUUUAUGCGGGGAUAAAAUGAGUCACGUGUGACGUUUUGUAGGUACCGCAUGAAUAAGGAUCGGCUAAUUCCGUGCCAGCAGCCGCGGUAAUACGGAGGGUCCGGGCGUUAUCCGGAUUUCUUGGGUUUAAAGGGAGCGUAGUCCGCUUGUUACGAGUGCUGUGAAAUUUGGCGGCUCAACCAUGGAACUGCGGCGCGAACUGGCGUGCUUGAGUGCACGGAAGGUAGGCGGAAUUCGUGGUGUAGCGGUGAAAUGCUUAGAUAUCACGAAGAACCCCGAUUGCGAAGGCAGCAUACUGAAGCGUUACUGACGCUGAAGCUCGAAGGUGCGGGUAUCGAACAGGAUUAGAUACCCCGGUAGUC
This 460-nucleotide ribosomal RNA is filed under the name uncultured bacterium. RNAcentral's name for it is "partial 16S ribosomal RNA". It matches the Rfam family "Bacterial small subunit ribosomal RNA", at positions 338 to 795 of the family's 1533-position model. The record is from RNAcentral.